Molecule: ribosomal RNA, 459 nt
Filed under: uncultured bacterium
Lineage: Bacteria
Description: partial 16S ribosomal RNA
Rfam family: Bacterial small subunit ribosomal RNA
Source: RNAcentral
CCUACGGGGGGCAGCAGUGAGGAAUAUUGGUCAAUGGGCGCGAGCCUGAACCAGCCAAGUCGCGUGAGGGAAGAAGGUCCUAUGGAUUGUAAACCUCUUUUGCCGGGGAGCAAAAGACGCCACGCGUGGCGUUCCGAGAGUACCCGAAGAAAAAGCAUCGGCCAACGCCGUGCCAGCAGCCGCGGUAUUACGGAGGAUGCGAGCGUUAUCCGGAUGUAUUGGGUUAAAAGGGUGCGCAGGCGGAAGAUCAAGUCAGCGGUAAAAUUGAGGGGCUCAACCUCGGCGAGCCGUUGAAACUGGGGUUCUUGAGUGAGUGAGAAGUAGGCGGAAUUCGUGGUGUAGCGGUGAAAUGCAUAGAUAUCACGCAGAACUCCGAUUGCGAAGGCAGCAUACCGGCGCUCAACUGACGCUCAUGCACGAAAGUGUGGGUAUCGAACAGGAUUAGAUACCCUGGUAGUC